RNAcentral lists this ribosomal RNA (253 nucleotides) under uncultured bacterium. RNAcentral describes it as "partial 16S ribosomal RNA". It matches the Rfam family "Bacterial small subunit ribosomal RNA", at positions 524 to 776 of the family's 1533-position model. The record is from RNAcentral.
UACGUAGGGAGCAAGCGUUGUUCGGAUUUACUGGGCGUAAAGGGCGCGUAGGCGGCGCGGUAAGUCACUUGUGAAAUCUCUGAGCUUAACUCAGAACGGCCAAGUGAUACUGCAGUGCUAGAGUGCAGAAAGGGCAAUCGGAAUUCUUGGUGUAGCGGUGAAAUGCGUAGAUAUCAAGAGGAACACCGGUGGCGAAGGCGGUUCUCUGGGCCUGUACUGACGCUGAGGAGCGAAAGCGUGGGGAGCGAACAGG